This 468-nucleotide ribosomal RNA is filed under the name uncultured bacterium. Its description in RNAcentral is "partial 16S ribosomal RNA". It matches the Rfam family "Bacterial small subunit ribosomal RNA", at positions 28 to 507 of the family's 1533-position model. The record is from RNAcentral.
GACGAACGCUGGCGGCGUGCUUAACACAUGCAAGUCGAACGGAAAGGCCCUGCUUUUGUGGGGUGCUCGAGUGGCGAACGGGUGAGUAACACGUGAGUAACCUGCCCUUGACUUUGGGAUAACUUCAGGAAACUGGGGCUAAUACCGGAUAGGAGCUCCUGCUGCAUGGUGGGGGUUGGAAAGUUUCGGCGGUUGGGGAUGGACUCGCGGCUUAUCAGCUUGUUGGUGGGGUAGUGGCUUACCAAGGCUUUGACGGGUAGCCGGCCUGGGAGGGUGACCGGCCACAUUGGGACUGAGAUAGGGCCCAGUCUCCUACGGGAGGCAGCAGUGGGGAUUAUUGCACAAUGGGCGGAAGCCUGAUGCAGCAACGCCGCGUGCGGGAUGACGGCCUUCGGGGUGUAACCCGCUUUCGCCUGUGACGAAGCGUGAGUGACGGUAAUGGGUAAAGAAGCACCGGCUAACUACGUG